UACGUAGGGGGCAAGCGUUGUCCGGAAUCAUUGGGCGUAAAGAGCGUGUAGGCGGCCCGAUAAGUCCGCCGUGAAAGUCCAGGGCUCAACCCUGGAAUGCCGGUGGAAACUGUCGGGCUGGAGUCCGGAAGAGGCGAGUGGAAUUCCUGGUGUAGCGGUGAAAUGCGCAGAUAUCAGGAGGAACACCUAAGGCGAAGGCAGCUCGCUGGAACGGUACUGACGCUGAGGCGCGAAAGCGUGGGGAGCAAACAGG
RNAcentral lists this ribosomal RNA (253 nucleotides) under uncultured bacterium. Its description in RNAcentral is "partial 16S ribosomal RNA". It matches the Rfam family "Bacterial small subunit ribosomal RNA", at positions 524 to 776 of the family's 1533-position model. The record is from RNAcentral.